RNAcentral lists this ribosomal RNA (1462 nucleotides) under Haloarcula vallismortis. Its description in RNAcentral is "bacterial LSU rRNA". It matches the Rfam family "Archaeal large subunit ribosomal RNA", at positions 9 to 1488 of the family's 2987-position model. Lineage: Archaea; Methanobacteriati; Methanobacteriota; Halobacteria; Halobacteriales; Haloarculaceae. The record is from RNAcentral.
GCUACUAUGCCAGCUGGUGGAUUGCUCGGCUCAGGCGCUGAUGAAGGACGUGCCAAGCUGCGAUAAGCUGUGGGGAGCCGCACGGAGGCGAAGAACCACAGAUUUCCGAAUGAGAAUCUCUCUAACAAUUGCUUCGCGCAAUGAGGAACCCCGAGAACUGAAACAUCUCAGUAUCGGGAGGAACAGAAAACGCAACGUGAUGUCGUCAGUAACCGCGAGUGAACGCGAUACAGCCCAAACCGAAGCCCUCACGGGCAAUGUGGUGUCAGGGCUACCUCUCAUCAGCCGACCAUUUCGACGAAGUCUCUUGGAAUAGAGCGUGAUACAGGGUGACAACCCCGUAAUCGAAAUCAGUACGCUGUGCGGUAGUGCCAGAGUAGCGGGGGUUGGAUAUCCCUCGCGAAUAACGCAGGCAUCGACUGCGAAGGCUAAACACAACCUGAGACCGAUAGUGAACAAGUAGUGUGAACGAACGCUGCAAAGUACCCUCAGAAGGGAGGCGAAAUAGAGCAUGAAAUCAGUUGGCGAUCGAGCGACAGGGCAUACAAGGUCCCAUGACGAAUGACCGAGACGCGAGUCUCCAGUAAGACUCACGGGAAGCCGAUGUUCUGUCGUACGUUUUGAAAAACGAGCCAGGGAGUGUGUCUGUAUGGCAAGUCUAACCGGAGUAUCCGGGGAGGCACAGGGAAACCGACAUGGCCGCAGGGCUUUGCCCGAGGGCCGCCGUGUUCAAGCGCGGGGAGCCACACGGACACGACCCGAAUCCGGACGAUCUACGCAUGGACAAGAUGAAGCGUGCCGAAAGGCACGUGGAAGUCUGUUAGAGUUGGUGUCCUACAAUACCCUCUCGUGAUCUAUGUGUAGGGGUGAAAGGCCCAUCGAGUCCGGCAACAGCUGGUUCCAAUCGAAACAUGUCGAAGCAUGACCUCCGCCGAGGUAGUCUGUGAGGUAGAGCGACCGAUUGGUGUGUCCGCCUCCGAGAGGAGUCGGCACACCUGUCAAACUCCAAACUUACAGACGCCGUUUGACGCGGGGAUUCCGGUGCGCGGGGUAAGCCUGUGUACCAGGAGGGGAACAACCCAGAGAUAGGUUAAGGUCCCCAAGUGUGGAUUAAGUGUAAUCCUCUGAAGGUGGUCUCGAGCCCUAGACAGCCGGGAGGUGAGCUUAGAAGCAGCUACCCUCUAAGAAAAGCGUAACAGCUUACCGGCCGAGGUUUGAGGCGCCCAAAAUGAUCGGGACUCAAAUCCACCACCGAGACCUGUCCGUACCACUCAUACUGGUAAUCGAGUAGAUUGGCGCUCUUAUUGGAUGGAAGCGGGGGCGAGAGCUCCUGUGGACCGAUAAGUGACGAAAAUCCUGGCCAUAGUAGCAGCGAUAGUCGGGUGAGAACCCCGACGGCCUAAUGGAUAAGGGUUCCUCAGCACUGCUGAUCAGCUGAGGGUUAGCCGGUCCUAAGUCAUAC